Long non-coding RNA from Sphaerodactylus townsendi, 669 nucleotides. RefSeq lists it as uncharacterized. The record is from RefSeq and is a predicted model, not a curated record. The transcript has 3 exons. Lineage: Eukaryota; Metazoa; Chordata; Lepidosauria; Squamata; Sphaerodactylidae.
UUAGGAUGAUGGAGGAGAGAAUUGCUGUCCAUAUCCCACAAUAAUGUGAGGCAGUAGCAUCAUACCAGACUUUUCAAUCGACUGAACAGGGGAAAGGGGUAAGGUUGAGCUCGUGUCAUGUGCAACUUUGAAUAUUCUAUAGGAAGAGAGAUGGAAAAAUAUCACCAUGGAUAAGAAAAGGAAAAAGGAAAACAAGUCAUUGCUAUAUAAAACAAGGAAGAAAAAAGAAUGGAAGAAGCUGAGAAAAAGAAGGAAAUUUGGCUGGAUAUUUACUGUGUUUCAUUUCUCAGAAGUCAGGGAAGAUCAACUCUGUGAUGUAGGUAGGCUGGAGAGGUGAAUCGGCUACCUACUGUUCUUCAUGGAAGAAGAAGUAUUUAAACCUGGAUAUCCAAGGCUCACAGAAUCAGUGUUGUAAAUGCUAUACUAUCAGGCUUUUUAGUUUUAUUUAGUUUGUCCUCUCACAGUUCCACGUAUCAUGGCUGUUCCAAAUGUACAACCUCUUUUAGGAUCCUCAUACAUAUAUAAAAGAAAAGCAGAGCACUGCAGUUUUCUAUGUCUCGGAAGCCACAGGGAUCAAAUGUAAAAAGGGAUGAAGGCGUUUCAUACAGAUUGUGGAGACUUCAAAAAACUGUUUCUAUUUGUAUAAAUUGUGUCUGAUGAAAAAUUGAA